UGGGGAAUAUUGGACAAUGGGGGCAACCCUGAUCCAGCCAUGCCGCGUGAGUGAUGAAGGCCUUCGGGUUGUAAAGCUCUUUUGGCGGGGACGAUGAUGACGGUACCCGCAGAAUAAGCCCCGGCUAACUUCGUGCCAGCAGCCGCGGUAAGACGAAGGGGGCAAGCGUUGUUCGGAAUUACUGGGCGUAAAGGGCGCGUAGGCGGUUUGCUUAGUCAGGCGUGAAAGCCCUGGGCUUAACCUGGGAUGUGCGCUUGAUACUGGCAGGCUUGAGUGUGGGAGAGGUUGGUGGAAUUCCUAGUGUAGAGGUGAAAUUCGUAGAUAUUGGGAAGAACACCGGUGGCGAAGGCGGCCAACUGGACCACAACUGACGCUGAGGCGCGAAAGCGUGGGGAGCAAACA
Molecule: ribosomal RNA, 402 nt
Filed under: uncultured bacterium
Lineage: Bacteria
Description: bacterial SSU rRNA
Rfam family: Bacterial small subunit ribosomal RNA
Source: RNAcentral